UGCCAUGCAAUCCUAACCUCUUUUACUUACCCUAAAUUUCAUAAUUUUCAGGCUUCUACUGAGAAUAAGGAUGGCCAGAGCUCACCAAGCUGCCUCCAGGCACCUAAGCCAGCCAUGACAAUUUAGAGAAAGAGAAAAAUAGACUUGCUCUGUUUGAUUGGGCCCUGGGAAAGUCUGAAGCACAAAGAUAAAAGUGAAAUGGUUCUAUGGAGAUUUGAUGGUGAGAAACCAGACACCUUAGGAUCCAAUACUUCAGCUUCAUCAGUGGAUCCUCCAGAAUGACCUUCUUGCUAUAAAGAGAAUGCUACGUGUUUAUCAACGAUUCAUCGUGACCAGCCUAUAAAGCCCUUGGAUUGAGUAGCCCAUGCGAGUAAAAGGAGCCAAAUACCUACAGCCAAGACAAAGAAGAAUAAAUUGCAGAUGAAAUAAAGAGCCAAACAUCGUGUGCAGCAAAUUUUAAAUCUUAUGCAUGAGAAAGUAUUUGAAAUAGCAAAAAGAUCGCCAAAGCUUGCCCUUAAAUAUUGGUAAUCAGAGCCUUUGGAGUCAAAAAACAACCUACAAAGCAAAUCACAGAGAAGAAAGAAAGAAAGUUAAGCACAGUUCUUCUGCCUGACAAAAGAUAUGUUUAAACAGUUGGAUGGAAACAAGGCACACUUAGCACUUGUGACGCAUAGAAGAGAUUUCUAUAUAACAAAAUUAUUUUCAGCAAUAAUCGCUAAUGAAACUAUUAAAAUAAUAACAUCCAGAAAAGAAAUAGACAAUGAAUAUUUUCUUUUAUUAAACUUUUAAUAAAUAAUCAUGCCACUAUAAAGUAAAAAAUAAAUCAUAAUGUACAAACGAGAAAAAAAU
This 849-nucleotide long non-coding RNA is filed under the name Equus caballus (horse). RNAcentral's name for it is "lncRNA (ENSECAG00000048428.1)". The record is from RNAcentral. Lineage: Eukaryota; Metazoa; Chordata; Mammalia; Perissodactyla; Equidae.